This 85-nucleotide transfer RNA is filed under the name Felis catus (domestic cat). It matches the Rfam family "tRNA". Rfam says of the family: Transfer RNA (tRNA) molecules are approximately 80 nucleotides in length. Their secondary structure includes four short double-helical elements and three loops (D, anti-codon, and T loops). Further hydrogen bonds mediate the characteristic L-shaped molecular structure. tRNAs have two regions of fundamental functional importance: the anti-codon, which is responsible for specific mRNA codon recognition, and the 3' end, to which the tRNAs corresponding amino acid is attached (by aminoacyl-tRNA synthetases). tRNAs cope with the degeneracy of the genetic code in two manners: having more than one tRNA (with a specific anti-codon) for a particular amino acid; and 'wobble' base-pairing, i.e. permitting non-standard base-pairing at the 3rd anti-codon position. Lineage: Eukaryota; Metazoa; Chordata; Mammalia; Carnivora; Felidae. The record is from Rfam by way of RNAcentral.
GCCUGGGUGGCUCAGUCGGUUAAGCAUCUGACUUCAGCUCAGGUCACGAUCUCAUAGUUCGCAGGUUUGAGCCCCGCAUCAGGCU